UCCGGCCCGAAGCAACUUCUUAGUGAGUGACUCCGCACCUUAAUGAUUGUCAUAGAUACUUUCAUGGACCUCUCACAUUACAUAGUCAGACCCUUCUGGUCCUAUACAUCUUUCCAUUGGACCAAAGAAACACCUUUGGUUGAGCAAAACAUCUACGAUUCAAUAUCAAGCUGCCUUAGCUCGUAAACCCAAUGAUUCCUUCAGAUCCUCUGGCAGCUUUUCGUGGUUAAGAUAGUCCGAAAAUUCAUUCCGCCAAUCCUAAACUAGGCUUGUAGAGUUGAUCUCAUCAUAACCAGUCCAGUAUAGUGCCGAGUGUAGCAAUUGGACCACUGACUCAGAACUCAAGCCCGAUGCCUCUGUUGAAGAGCCCAAAUUGGCAAGUGCGUCCGCUUCUAUAUUCUCUUCUCUAGGUACGUGCACCAAAGUCCACUUUUGAAAUCGGGCAAGCAAUGUUAGCACCUUUUCAAGGUACCGCAGCAUGCACUCAUCUUUGGCCUCAAACACACCGUGCACUUGAUUUACCACCAAAAGUGAGUCAUACUUUGCCUCAAUGACCUCUGCGCCGAGUCCCCAGGCUAGCUCAAGACCUGCAAUCAAAGCUUCGAACUCCGCUUCAUUGUUAGUUAGAGGCACGCUACUAAUCGCUUGCCUCAAAAUUUCUCCUGUUGGAGUGUGGAGUACCACACGCAGCCCCGUUCCUUUAACGUUGGAUGCCCCAUCGUUGAAGAGCCUCCACACUCCGAGUGCAAGCCCCGAUACCAAGGAAGCCUUCUUUUCGGCUUGGGGAGUUAUACCCAGGUUAAAAUCAGCCACAAAGUCCGUGAGGACUUGUGAUUUGAUCGUAGUAUGGGGCUUAUAUGUAAUAUCAAAUUUACUUAACUCAAUUGCCUAUUUGGCCAACCGCCCUGAUAAAUCCGGCUUGUGAAGCACAUUCCGCAAAGGAAACGUGGUCACAAUAGCAAUUGGGUGACAUUGGAAAUAUGGUUGGAGCUUUUACGAAGCCAUUACUAGAGCAAAGGCCAGCCUUUCCGAGAGAGGGUACCGCGUUUCAGCCCUCGACAUAACUCGGCUUACAUAAUAGACAGGAAUUGCGUGCCUUGGUCUUCUCGUACUGGGACAGCAUUUACCACUAAUUCCGAUACGACCAAGUAAACCAUUAACACCUCUCCGUGUUUCGACUUUGACAUGAGCGGAGGGGAGGACAGGUAUGCCUUGAGAUCUUGCAGCGCCUACUGACAUUCCGGUGUCCAUUCAAACUCGUUCUUCUUUUUGAGCAAAGAGAAAAACUUGUGGCACUUCUCUAAAGACCUAGAUAUAAACCUGCAAGCGCGGCUAUGCCCCAGUAAAUACAUGCACUUGAGCCUAUUGUAAUGUAAAGUCAUGAAAGCCUGCCAGUUAAUCGUUGUACCACCUUGACAUCCUGUAGCGUAUCCGGAAUGUCCUCUAUUGUCUUUAUCUUCCCUGGGUUUAUUUCAAUCCACCUUUGAGAGAUAAGGAAACACAGGAUUUUCCCAGAUCUGACCCCGAAUGCGCAUUUCUCCAGAUUCAGCUUCAUGUUGUACUGCCUCAGGACUCAAACGUAUCCUGCAAAUGACUUAUAUGGUCCCCAAUACGGAGACUCAUGACCAACAUAUCAUCAAUAUAUACUUUCAUUAUUUUCCCUAUUUGUUGCUCAAACAUUUUGUUUACAAGCCUCUGGUAAGUGGCUCCAGCAUUCUUCAAACCAAAGGGCAUUACAUUAUAGCAGUAAGUACCAAAUUUGGUGAUGAAUGAGGUUUUCUCUUGAUCCUCUGGGUGCACCCUUAUUUGGUUAUACCCUGAGUAAGUAUCGAGAAAACUCAUUACUUCAUGACCGGUGUUACACCUCGUGAAUUUUCGCAUCGUCGUAAGCCAACUAAUGUGAGUCCAGAGAUGCUAUGAUACCCCUAUAAGGUUAAGGAAGACUUUUAAUAAGUGUUAGACAAGUAUUUAAAGGUUUCGGGAUCAAGCGAAUCAUAGAAAUUAGGUUCGUUGAAAAUUGGAAAAACUUGGAAGAAUUUUGGAUAGGAUUUUUGGUCCAACUUCAAAGAGGCAUAUCUACUAGAAUAUGAGGAGUUACGGAAUCCAUAACCUAUGUAAAUUGAAGUUCACCAAGUCUUGUUUCUAAUGCAACUAACAGAUCGCAUUUCUGUGAAGUACGGAGGAAAGUACGAUCCGUACAAAAUUUUGGGCGUAUUUUGCCAAAAUUUCCAAAAAGUUAAAAAUUUUAACUCCAAAGUACGGGAUGAACAGUAGCAUGUACUUUGAAGUACGGGAUGACCAGUAGCCCGUACUUUGCCCGAAAUUUUCAAGAUUUGAAGUCGGUGGAAUUUUUUUCUAAGACUAUAAAUAGCCAUUUCCACGACCUAGGCUUCAUUUUUUCACCCAAAUUAAAUCCCUAAUGCCUCUCUAAGCUUCCUUUAACAUCCAUAACCACCCUAAAUCAAAUCGAGGAAGGAUCAAACUCUUAAAUCCUCAACUAGUUUAUAAAAAGGUGUUUUCUCUUGUUUCUACAUAGAGUUGUGGUGAACUUGGCCUUGAAACAAGUUGUGUGAGUUGAAGUUCUUCAAAUACAAGGUAUGUUCUUCACCCGAUUUGUAUGGUUGAGUUGAUGUAAAGGUUUAAUACCCCUUAAAAAGGAAAAUAAUUAAAGUAGAGAAGCUAUAAGUGUUGUAGUGAAGAAGAUGACUAUGAGGUGAACUCGAAAAGGGGAUUAUGGUUAAAUUUGAGACUAAUUUGAAUGUAACUUCUUGAUUAUGAUAUUAUGGAUGUUGUUAUUGUUGUUUGGGAGCUGUUUUGCAAUAUGGUGGAAGUCGAUAAAAUAGGUGAAGUGCUGCCUAAAUUCCGUUAGCCUUUUAGUUGCUCUAGUUUGAACUUAAGCAUGUUUUCAAGACUUAACCUUAUUAUAAAUCCUCUUGAAUGUAGAUUUUGCGGGCUUUGGAGGAAAACAUUAGUAGUUAAGAAGACGUGAAGGUAGGUAGGGAGACGGAUCAGAUCCCUAGGAGCUUCAUUUGCGGAGUCUCAGGAGCGCUCCAUUUGCUUCGGAACUGCAGUCUAUUGCGCAAGUGAUAUGAUCCUACUUGGCACACUUCACUUCAAGACAUCCACCCAAGGCCAAGGCAUGGAACUUCACACUCUACAAGCGGCGUGGAUGACAAGGAUGGCAUGGAAGGCCUUUGGAGGCUCUUGUGAGCCACACAAGAUGGCUUACGAUGUGUGGAAGGUAGCUUGGGCGAGGCUCGGAGAAGAAGCUACUAGAAAGGAGGCCUAGAACUCAAAAGUGGCUAGAAGUGCAAAGGGAUAAAAAUGCAAAUAUGGCUAGACGUGCAAAAGAAGGGGCAUAGAUGCAAAUGGUCACAAUUGCAAGCUUUGAGGAUUGGAUGAUGGCUAUAUGUGCAAGACGGAGUCUUUUCAAGUUUCAAGCCAACAUCCAACUAGCCAAACAAGGCCCUUGCCUCAUUAAUGGCAUUUUUGUAAUAACUUUGUCUUCUUUAGUCUAGGAGUAUAAAUACUAGACUUAGAUAUUUCAUUUACUUAGAUUAUGGUGAAUUGAGAAUACUCCUUUGGAGAGAUAGAUUAUUUAGCUAGGAUUAGCUUUA
Long non-coding RNA from Lycium ferocissimum, 3617 nucleotides. RefSeq lists it as uncharacterized. NCBI's taxonomy places the organism in Eukaryota, Viridiplantae, Streptophyta, Magnoliopsida, Solanales, Solanaceae. The record is from RefSeq and is a predicted model, not a curated record. The transcript is spliced from 3 exons.